AGAGCGAACGCUGGCGGCAGGCCUAGCACAUGCAAGUCGAGCGCCCCGCAAGGGGAGCGGCAGACGGGAGAGUAACACGUGGGAACGUACCCUUCAGUUCGGAACAACCCAGGGAAACUUGGGCUAAUACCGAAUACUUCCGUAAGGAGAAAGAUUUAUCGCUGAAGGAUCGGCCCGCGUCUGAUUAGCUAGUUGGUGAGGUAACGGCUCACCAAGGCUACGAUCAGUAGCUGGUCUGAGAGGAUGAUCAGCCACAUUGGGACUGAGACACGGCCCAAACUCCUACGGGAGGCAGCAGUGGGGAAUAUGGACAAUGGGCGCAAGCCUGAUCCAGCCAUGCCGCGUGAGUGAUGACGGCCUUAGGGUUGUAAAGCUCUUUCGCUCGGGACGAUAAUGACGGUACCGAGAUAAGAAGCCCCGGCUAACUUCGUGCCAGCAGCCGC
RNAcentral lists this ribosomal RNA (443 nucleotides) under uncultured bacterium. RNAcentral's name for it is "SSU rRNA". It matches the Rfam family "Bacterial small subunit ribosomal RNA", at positions 26 to 518 of the family's 1533-position model. The record is from RNAcentral.